UACAGAGGUCCCAAGCGUUGUUCGGAUUCACUGGGCGUAAAGGGUACGUAGGCGGUCGGGUAAGUCUGAUGUGAAAUCUCACAGCUUAACUGUGAAACUGCAUUGGAUACUAUCCGGCUCGAGGAAUGGAGGGGAGACUGGAAUACUUGGUGUAGCAGUGAAAUGCGUAGAUAUCAAGUGGAACACCAGUGGCGAAGGCGAGUCUCUGGACAUUUCCUGACGCUGAGGCACGAAAGCCAGGGGAGCAAACGGG
RNAcentral lists this ribosomal RNA (253 nucleotides) under uncultured bacterium. Its description in RNAcentral is "partial 16S ribosomal RNA". It matches the Rfam family "Bacterial small subunit ribosomal RNA", at positions 524 to 776 of the family's 1533-position model. The record is from RNAcentral.